Molecule: small RNA, 202 nt
Filed under: Vigna angularis var. angularis
Lineage: Eukaryota; Viridiplantae; Streptophyta; Magnoliopsida; Fabales; Fabaceae
Description: Non-protein coding transcript
Source: RNAcentral
GUACACGAUCAAUGCCAGAUGGAACAAGGCCCUGGCUGAAUUAUGGAGCAUAUUGAACAGUGAUGUGUUCGUGUUUUCUGCAUUGCAAUGUUAAAGGUGGCACGCAUGCACCAUAUCAUGCCUCAGAUUGCUUACACGAUCGACAGCGGUGUCUAUUGCUAUAUUUAGCAUGAAAAACAAGAAAAAGAGAAAUAUAUCACCA